This 300-nucleotide unclassified non-coding RNA is filed under the name uncultured fungus. RNAcentral describes it as "sequence contains ITS1, 5.8S rRNA gene". The stretch from base 252 to 300 matches the Rfam family "5.8S ribosomal RNA", at positions 1 to 49 of the family's 154-position model. The record is from RNAcentral. Lineage: Eukaryota; Fungi.
UUUCCGUAGGUGAACCUGCGGAAGGAUCAUUAUUGAAUUUUAAUGAAGAGAUUUGGUUGUAGCUGGCCCAUCAUUUUGGGCAUGUGCACACCUUUCUCUUUCAUCCACACACACCUGUGCACCUGUGAGGCAGAUGGGGAAUUUACUGAUUGUUUUUGAAGAACAAUUGGUGUUGCACCCUCUGUCUACUCAAUCUAUAUAAACUCAAAUUAUUUAAAAAUGAAUGUAAUGGAUGUAACACAUCUAAUACUAAGUUUCAACAACGGAUCUCUUGGCUCUCGCAUCGAUGAAGAACGCAGC